GCCAGACAUGGUAGCGCACGCCUGUGAUCCUAGUGGCUUGGAGGCUGAGGCAGGAGGAUCAUGAGUUCAAAGCCAGCCUCAGCAGUGAUGAGGUGCUAAGCAACUCAGUGAGACCCUGUCUGUA
RNAcentral lists this small RNA (124 nucleotides) under Marmota monax (woodchuck). The record is from RNAcentral. Lineage: Eukaryota; Metazoa; Chordata; Mammalia; Rodentia; Sciuridae.